AUUGAACGCUGGCGGCAUGCCUUACACAUGCAAGUCGAACGGCAGCACGGGUGCUUGCACCUGGUGGCGAGUGGCGAACGGGUGAGUAAUACAUCGGAACAUGUCCCGUAGUGGGGGAUAGCCCGGCGAAAGCCGGAUUAAUACCGCAUACGAUCUACGGAUGAAAGCGGGGGACCUUCGGGCCUCGCGCUAUAGGGUUGGCCGAUGGGGGAUUAGCUAGUUGGUGGGGUAAAGGCCUACCAAGGCGACGAUCAGUAGCUGGUCUGAGAGGACGACCAGCCACACUGGGACUGAGACACGGCCCAGACUCCUACGGGAGGCAGCAGUGGGGAAUUUUGGACAAUGGGCGAAAGCCUGAUCCAGCAAUGCCGCGUGUGUGAAGAAGGCCUUCGGGUUGUAAAGCACUUUUGUCCGGAAAGAAAUCCUUGGCUCUAAUACAGUCGGGGGAUGACGGUACCGGAAGAAUAAGCACCGGCUAACUACGUG
This 486-nucleotide ribosomal RNA is filed under the name uncultured bacterium. RNAcentral describes it as "partial 16S ribosomal RNA". It matches the Rfam family "Bacterial small subunit ribosomal RNA", at positions 30 to 507 of the family's 1533-position model. The record is from RNAcentral.